Protopterus annectens (West African lungfish) is the source of this 103-nucleotide small nuclear RNA. NCBI's taxonomy places the organism in Eukaryota, Metazoa, Chordata, Ceratodontiformes, Protopteridae. The record is from RefSeq and is a predicted model, not a curated record.
AUUCUUCAGCAGCAUAUAUACUAAAAUUGGAAUGAUAUAGAGAAAACGGGCACAGUGCCUAUGCAAGGAUGACAUGCAAAUUUGUGAAGCAGUGCAUAUUUUA